GGGGCGUAGCUCAGUUGGGAGAGCGCUUGACUGGCAGUCAAGAGGUCAGGGGUUCGAUCCCCCUCGUCUCC
This 71-nucleotide transfer RNA is filed under the name uncultured Collinsella sp. It matches the Rfam family "tRNA". From Rfam's summary of the family: Transfer RNA (tRNA) molecules are approximately 80 nucleotides in length. Their secondary structure includes four short double-helical elements and three loops (D, anti-codon, and T loops). The record is from RNAcentral. Lineage: Bacteria; Bacillati; Actinomycetota; Coriobacteriia; Coriobacteriales; Coriobacteriaceae.